Long non-coding RNA from Diachasmimorpha longicaudata, 826 nucleotides. RefSeq lists it as uncharacterized. The record is from RefSeq and is a predicted model, not a curated record. The transcript is spliced from 5 exons. Lineage: Eukaryota; Metazoa; Arthropoda; Insecta; Hymenoptera; Braconidae.
AGACCAGACAGUGUCAUACCAUCCCCUAGAUGAACACGAUGUGGAGUGGCAGGAGUCUCAGUUGCAUGUGACUGCUCCAUUGUCAUUUUACUAAAAUCUUUCUCAGCAUCUGCCAAACUCGCACUCAAACCUCUGCUCCCCCAGGGGUCUUGGGUAUGCGUCUUGGUGGUUACCGAAGGAGGAAAAACUAAAUGAGGGGAGUCAAGUUGAAAGUGAAAAGUGAGAGGUGGCCCCUGAGAUAAUUUUAGCAGCGAGUUGCCUCCCUGCUUCAAGUUAACACCGACUGGAGACAAAUCUCAAAGCCAAAUGUCACAACGUGUCCAGAGCCAGAGAAAUAUCCACACCAAACGUUUACACCACAUUCGAUGGGCUUUUCAGUUGUCACUCAAAAUAUUGAAUACGUGUCCAAAAGUCAAUUGGUCAUGAUCUCGAUUUUUUCACACGAUUUGCAGUAUCAAAACUAGAGAAUCACCCGAGACAACCGGAAAAUUCAACGACUGACAGCACCCGUAAUAAUACUGAUAAGACAAGUGGGGGGAGGACAUUCUGGUGACUGUCACGUAGAAAACCGAGUAGAUUGAGGCAUUUGCUACAUUCGUAAGGGAAUAACAGAGGGUUUUUUUUAUUUUUAAAAUUUUUUUCAUGACGUGAUUGCUGAUAUUGAAUGCUUACUCUGAGGUGAUCAGAAACUUUGUCCGGAAAUUGUGAAGUCGUCCUAAAGACGGUAUUUUUUUUAACGAGGCGAAGAUAUUUUUUUACGACAAGAACGUAAUUUGUCAAAGCAACUUCAGUUAAAUUAAUAAAUUCCAAAGUUUUUAACCUCAAA